RNAcentral lists this ribosomal RNA (300 nucleotides) under uncultured Desulfurococcus sp. RNAcentral describes it as "bacterial SSU rRNA". The stretch from base 52 to 300 matches the Rfam family "Bacterial small subunit ribosomal RNA", at positions 547 to 795 of the family's 1533-position model. Lineage: Archaea; Thermoproteati; Thermoproteota; Thermoprotei; Desulfurococcales; Desulfurococcaceae. The record is from RNAcentral.
GCAAAUGGCGGGGUGGGGGCCGGGGGAAUGCGUGGGUGGGUAGCGUUGGCCGGAUGUAUGGGGCGUAAAGGGCGGGUAGGCGGUCGGCUAAGUCAGAGGUGAAAAGCCAGGGCUCAACCCGGGAACUGCCUCUGAAACUGGUAGACUUGAGGGCUCUAGAGGGCAGUGGAAUUCCCGGUGUAGCAGUGAAAUGCGUAGAGAUCGGGAGGAACACCAGUGGCGAAGGCGACUGCCUGGGGAGUAACUGACGCUGAGGCGCGAAAGCUGGGGGAGCAAACGGGAUUAGAUACCCUAGUAGUC